Molecule: ribosomal RNA, 588 nt
Filed under: uncultured bacterium
Lineage: Bacteria
Description: bacterial SSU rRNA
Rfam family: Bacterial small subunit ribosomal RNA
Source: RNAcentral
UGGCGGCAGCCUAACAAUGCAAGUCGAACGAAGUAGCAAUACUUAGUGGCAGACGGGUGAGUAACAUGUAGGUAUCUACCCUUUGGCCUGGAAUAACACGAGGAAACUUGUGCUAAUACCGGAUAAGUCUUUACGGAGAAAGCUUUAUGCACCAUUGGAUGAGCCUGCACUUGAUUAGUUUGUUGGUAGGGUAAUGGCCUACCAAGACUGUGAUCAAUAGCUGAUUUGAGAGGAUGAUCAGCCACAUUGGGACUGAGACACGGCCCAAACUCCUACGGGAGGCAGCAGUGGGGAAUCUUGCACAAUGGAGGAAACUCUGAUGCAGCGAUGCCGCGUGAGUGAAGAAGGCCCUUGGGUUGUAAAGCUCUUUCGUCGGGGAAGAAAAUGACUGUACCCGAAUAAGAAGGUCCGGCUAACUUCGUGCCAGCAGCCGCGGUAAUACGAAGGGACCUAGCGUAGUUCGGAAUUACUGGGCUUAAAGAGUUCGUAGGUGGUUGAAAAAGUUGGUGGUGAAAUCCCAGAGCUUAACUCUGGAACUGCCAUCAAAACUUUUCAGCUAGAGUUUGAUAGAGGAAAGCAGAAUUUCUA